AGGCACAUAGCUCAGUUGGUUAGAGAACCACCUUGACAUGGUGGGGGUCGUUGGUUCGAGUCCAAUUGUGCCUACCA
Molecule: transfer RNA, 77 nt
Filed under: Pseudomonas capeferrum
Lineage: Bacteria; Pseudomonadati; Pseudomonadota; Gammaproteobacteria; Pseudomonadales; Pseudomonadaceae
Description: tRNA-Val
Rfam family: tRNA
About the family: Transfer RNA (tRNA) molecules are approximately 80 nucleotides in length.
Source: RNAcentral